AAGAACUCUGUCAAUAGUGCACUUAAUGUUUGACAAUGUCUCACAAUGUCACUAAAGCACUACAGAGAUGCUGCCAACCCUGAUUACACAUACUCUCCACAAUUUAAGGUCACAGAAGAAGCCAGCAGGAUAAGAUAAGCCCAAAAGUCUGCCAGGAACCUGUGGCUCAGGUCAAUCUCAGAAGAACCUGUUCCUCCAUGGCAUGCCACCUGUCUGUGAAAGGCACAGUAAGAAGGCAUCAGGACCCAAUAGGAGGCAUGAGGUUAUCAAGAUUCAUGGGGUGCCAGAAAGUAAGCAUUUCCCAACCUGUGAGGAGAUGGACGAACCUGAAGAGGAAAAUGAGUAAACAUGGGUGGUAGUCACUGUGUGCCAGAAGAGGAUUCCAUUGUGGAUGCAGGGGCUUUGAACUUGGAUAGUAGGCAAGUGUGCAG
RNAcentral lists this long non-coding RNA (431 nucleotides) under Cricetulus griseus (Chinese hamster). RNAcentral's name for it is "lncRNA (ENSCGRG00000026296.1)". The record is from RNAcentral. Lineage: Eukaryota; Metazoa; Chordata; Mammalia; Rodentia; Cricetidae.